RNAcentral lists this ribosomal RNA (250 nucleotides) under uncultured bacterium. Its description in RNAcentral is "partial 16S ribosomal RNA". It matches the Rfam family "Bacterial small subunit ribosomal RNA", at positions 355 to 621 of the family's 1533-position model. The record is from RNAcentral.
UAGGGAAUUUUCCACAAUGGGCGCAAGCCUGAUGGAGCAACGCCGCGUGCAGGAUGAAGGCUUUCGGGUCGUAAACUGCUUUUAUUUGUGACGAUUAUGACAGUAGCAAAUGAAUAAGGGUCGGCUAACUACGUGCCAGCAGCCGCGGUCAUACGUAGGACCCGAGCGUUAUCCGGAAUUACUGGGCGUAAAGAGUUGCGUAGGUGGUUUGUUAAGUGAAUAGUGAAAUCGUGCGGCUCAACCGUAUACA